GAUGAACGCUGGCGGCGUGCCUAAUACAUGCAAGUAGAACGCUGAAGCUUGGUGCUUGCACCGAGCGGAUGAGUUGCGAACGGGUGAGUAACGCGUAGGUAACCUGCCUCUUAGCGGGGGAUAACUAUUGGAAACGAUAGCUAAUACCGCAUAAAAGUCGAUAUCGCAUGAUAUUGAUUUGAAAGGUGCAAAUGCAUCACUAAGAGGUGGACCUGCGUUGUAUUAGCUAGUUGGUGAGGUAACGGCUCACCAAGGCGACGAUACAUAGCCGACCUGAGAGGGUGAUCGGCCACACUGGGACUGAGACACGGCCCAGACUCCUACGGGAGGCAGCAGUAGGGAAUCUUCGGCAAUAGGGGCAACCCUGACCGAGCAACGCCGCGUGAGUGAAGAAGGUUUUCGGAUCGUAAAGCUCUGUUGUAAGAGAAGAACGAGUGUGAGAGUGGAAAGUUCACACUGUGACGGUAACUUACCAGAAAGGGACGGCUAACUACGUG
This 497-nucleotide ribosomal RNA is filed under the name uncultured bacterium. RNAcentral describes it as "partial 16S ribosomal RNA". It matches the Rfam family "Bacterial small subunit ribosomal RNA", at positions 28 to 507 of the family's 1533-position model. The record is from RNAcentral.